RNAcentral lists this ribosomal RNA (253 nucleotides) under uncultured bacterium. Its description in RNAcentral is "partial 16S ribosomal RNA". It matches the Rfam family "Bacterial small subunit ribosomal RNA", at positions 524 to 776 of the family's 1533-position model. The record is from RNAcentral.
UACGUAGGGGCCGAGCGUUGUCCGGAGUUAUUGGGCGUAAAGCGCGCGCAGGCGGCCUCGCGCGCCCGACGUGAAAGCCCCCGGCUUAACCGGGGAGGGUCGUUGGGGACGGCGGGGCUUGAGGGCGGGAGAGGGUGGUGGAAUUCCCGGUGUAGUGGUGAAAUGCGUAGAGAUCGGGAGGAACACCCGUGGCGAAGGCGGCCACCUGGGCCGACCCUGACGCUGAGGCGCGAAGGCGUGGGGAGCGAACAGG